Molecule: small nuclear RNA, 105 nt
Filed under: Choloepus hoffmanni (Hoffmann's two-fingered sloth)
Lineage: Eukaryota; Metazoa; Chordata; Mammalia; Pilosa; Megalonychidae
Source: RNAcentral
GUGCUUAUUUCAUCAGCACAUACAGUAAAAUUGAAAUGAUACAGAAGAUUAGCAUGGCCCCUGCACAAGGAUGAUACACAAAUUUGUGAAGCUUUCCAUAUUUUU